UUUCGCCCGCCGGCGACCGGCGCACGGGUGAGUAACACGUAUGCAACCUGGCCGCCACAGGGGGAUAACCCGCGGAAACGCGGCCUAAUACCCCGUGACGCCACCGGAGGGCAUCCUCCGGUGGCCAAAGGAGCGAUCCGGUGGCGGAUGGGCAUGCGGCGCAUUAGCUAGACGGCGGGGUGACGGCCCACCGUGGCGACGAUGCGUAGGGGUUCUGGGAGGAAGGCCCCCCACACUGGGACUGAGACACGGCCCAGACUCCUACGGGAGGCAGCAG
RNAcentral lists this ribosomal RNA (277 nucleotides) under uncultured bacterium. RNAcentral's name for it is "partial 16S ribosomal RNA". It matches the Rfam family "Bacterial small subunit ribosomal RNA", at positions 79 to 354 of the family's 1533-position model. The record is from RNAcentral.